Molecule: ribosomal RNA, 433 nt
Filed under: uncultured bacterium
Lineage: Bacteria
Description: partial 16S ribosomal RNA
Rfam family: Bacterial small subunit ribosomal RNA
Source: RNAcentral
AACGAACGCUGGCGGCAUGCCUAACACAUGCAAGUCGAACGAGACCUUCGGGUCUAGUGGCGCACGGGUGCGUAACGCGUGGGAACCUGCCCUUAGGUUCGGAAUAACUCCCCGAAAGGGGUGCUAAUACCGGAUCAUGUCUUCGGACCAAAGAUUUAUCGCCUUUGGAUGGGCCCGCGUUGGAUUAGCUGGUUGGUAGGGUAAAAGCCUACCACGGCGACGAUCCAUAGCUGGUCUGAGAGGAUGAUCAGCCACACUGGGACUGAGACACGGCCCAGACUCCUACGGGAGGCGGGAGUGGGGAAUAUUGGACAAUGGGCGAAGGCAUGAUCCAGCAAGGCCGGGUGAGUGAUGAAGGCCUGAGGGUUGUAAAGCUCUUUUACCCGGGAUGAUAAUGACAGUACCGGGAGAAUAAGCCCCGGCUAACUCCGUG